RNAcentral lists this ribosomal RNA (467 nucleotides) under uncultured bacterium. Its description in RNAcentral is "partial 16S ribosomal RNA". It matches the Rfam family "Bacterial small subunit ribosomal RNA", at positions 28 to 507 of the family's 1533-position model. The record is from RNAcentral.
GACGAACGCUGGCGGCGUGCUUAACACAUGCAAGUCGAACGGAAAGGCCUCUUUCGGGGGGUACUCGAGUGGCGAACGGGUGAGUAACACGUGAGUAACCUGCCCUUGACUUUGGGAUAACUUCAGGAAACUGGGGCUAAUACCGGAUAGGAGCUCCUGCUGCAUGGUGGGGGUUGGAAAGUUUCGGCGGUUGGGGAUGGACUCGCGGCUUAUCAGCUUGUUGGUGGGGUAGUGGCUUACCAAGGCUUUGACGGGUAGCCGGCCUGAGAGGGUGACCGGUCACAUUGGGACUGAGAUACGGCCCAGACUCCUACGGGAGGCAGCAGUGGGGAAUAUUGCACAAUGGGUGGAAGCCUGAUGCAGCAACGCCGUGCGCGGGAUGACGGCCUUCGGGUUGUAAACCGCUUUCGCUCAUGACGAAGCUUUGUGUGACGGUAGUGGGUAAAGAAGCACCGGCUAACUACGUG